This 85-nucleotide transfer RNA is filed under the name Felis catus (domestic cat). It matches the Rfam family "tRNA". From Rfam's summary of the family: Transfer RNA (tRNA) molecules are approximately 80 nucleotides in length. The record is from Rfam by way of RNAcentral. Lineage: Eukaryota; Metazoa; Chordata; Mammalia; Carnivora; Felidae.
GCUUGGGUGGCUCAGUCGGUUGGGCGUCUGACUUCAGCUCAGGUCAUGAUCUCACGGUUUGUGGGUUCGAGCCCCGCGUCGGGCU